This 490-nucleotide ribosomal RNA is filed under the name uncultured bacterium. RNAcentral's name for it is "partial 16S ribosomal RNA". It matches the Rfam family "Bacterial small subunit ribosomal RNA", at positions 30 to 507 of the family's 1533-position model. The record is from RNAcentral.
AUUGAACGCUGGCGGCAGGCCUAACACAUGCAAGUCGAACGGUAACAGAAAGCAGCUUGCUGCUUUGCUGACGAGUGGCGGACGGGUGAGUAAUGUCUGGGAAACUGCCUGAUGGAGGGGGAUAACUACUGGAAACGGUAGCUAAUACCGCAUAACGUCGCAAGACCAAAGAGGGGGACCUUCUGGCCUCUUGCCAUCGUAUGUGCCCAGAUGGGAUUAGCUAGUAGGUGGGGUAAAGGCUCACCUAGGCGACGAUCCCUAGCUGGUCUGAGAGGAUGACCAGCCACACUGGAACUGAGACACGGUCCAGACUCCUACGGGAGGCAGCAGUGGGGAAUAUUGCACAAUGGGCGCAAGCCUGAUGCAGCCAUGCCGCGUGUGUGAAGAAGGCCUUCGGGUUGUAAAGUACUUUCAGCGGGGAGGAAGGGAGUAAAGUUAAUACCUUUGCUCAUUGACGUUACCCGCAGAAGAAGCACCGGCUAACUCCGUG